CACCGUAUACCGCCAUUGCCAGCCCAGAUGCCAGUGGCAUUCCUGUAAUAAAUUGCCGUGUGUGCCAGUCAUUAAUCAAUUUGGAAGGGAAGCUUUACCAGCAUGUUGUCAAAUGCACAGAUUGCAAUGAAGCUACGGUAAAUGACUUUGCAGGCUUCUCGCUCUCGUGACAUGUUUUAUUAUGCCCUUUCACAAUAGAAGAGACUCACAUCGAUGUGACUGCUCAGCAGCUGAGAAUUAGCAUGCAGUAUGAGGAUCAUUUGGAUGCAAGGAAAGCCACUUUGAGUAGAAAACAGUAACCAGAUGAUGAUGUGACUAAUUCAUAGGCGCUACAUUUAUGGAGAUAGUAGUUCCCAUGGCCUAUAAUUAAGUCCUGAAUGAGUAGCUUCUUUAUUUGCAGUCCAGUCCAGGUAUGGUCAGUUUCUGUAUUCUGCAGUGCUUUAUGCAGAUCAUAUAGUUUGCCAAACCACCAUUUUAAGAGUGUAAAAUCCUGACUGCCUACUAUUAUUACUAAAAUAGAAGAGAAAGAAAAAAGAGCAUCUUUUGCUCGCUCGUAUUAACAAUAAAAAUUAAUUCAUCAAUCCUGACUUAAACAUGCACGUUAAUAAAAGCAGUCCAUAUGUCCAAAUAGAUAGCCAAACAAGAAUGACAAUUAGAAGAUGCACUUUCAGAUACAGAAAGGGGAGUGAGAUCUUUGGACCGCUGGGUAAUAGAUGGUGGGUGUUCAUUCUUUGAACCUUGAAGUAUAAGUCCCUGUGCAACCAUAGGGGCUCAUAGCAGCAGGAGACUCUUCCAGGUGGUUCGCAAUUUAGCGGAACCACCUGCUCCAUCCGGGCCCAGUACGGGCCACAUGAUCUCCUGCAAUGAUUUUGCAAAGUUUUUUGCAGAUAAAGUCGCUCAGAUUCGGGAAGAGGUAGACUCCACCGUGGGAGCAGGGCCGGGGCGGGGGAGUGCUAGAGUCCUGUCUAGUCAAGUUUUGUGGGAUCAAUUUCAAUCUGUUACCUCCGAGGAUGUGGACAGGCUGCUUAGACGAAUGAAACCAACCACCUGUCUCCUUGAUCCUUGCCCAUCCUGGAUUAUAAAAGCUAGCCAGGAAGGGCUGGGCGAUGGGCUUCGCGGGUUGAUAAAUGCUUCUCUCCAUGAGGGAGCCUUCCCAGACCCGCUGAAAGAGGCGGUUAUUAAACCGCUUCUUAAAAAACCAUCUUUAGAUCCGGCCAAUAUGGCCAACUAUCGCCCAGUCUCAAAUCUUCCAUUCUUGGGCAAGGUGAUUGAGCGAGUGGUUGCGGAACAACUCCAGGCACGCCUGGAAGAAGCGGACCAUUUGGAUCCCUUCCAGUCAGGAUUCAGGCCUCAUCAUGGGACUGAAACUGCCUUGGUCGCACUGGUCGAUGAUCUCCGGCGGGCUAGGGACAAAGGUAAGAGCUGUUUCCUUGUUCUGCUGGAUCUCUCAGCGGCUUUUGACACCAUCGACCAUAACAUCCUUCUGGACCGUCUAGAGGGCUUGGGAGCUGGGGGCACUGUCAUGCAGUGGUUCCGCUCCUUCCUCCUGGGGCCGUGUUCAGAAAGUGGUGGUGGGGGAUGAGUGUUCAGACCCCUGGGCGCUCACUUGUGGGGUGCCUCAGGGUUCUGUCCUCUCCCCCAUGCUUUUUAACAUCUAUAUGCAGCUGCUGGGAGAGAUCAUCAGGGGGUUUGGGCUGGGUGUCUAUCAGUAUGCUGAUGAUACCCAGCUCUACCUCUCUUUUAAAUCAGAACCAGUGAAGGCGGUGAAGGUCCUGUGUGAGUGCUUGGAGGCGGUUGGAGGAUGGAUGGUGGCUAACAGAUUGAGAUUGAAUCCUGACAAGACAGAAGUACUGUUUGUGGGGGACAGGAGGCGGGCGGGUGUGGAGGACUCCCUGGUCCUGAAUGGGGUAACUGUGCCCCUGAAAGACCAGGUGCGCAGCCUGGGAGUCAUUUUAGACUCACAGCUGUCCAUGGAGGCACAGGUCAACUCUGUGUCCAGGGCAGCUGUUUAUCAGCUCCAUCUGGUACGCAGGCUGAGUCCUUACCUGCCCAGUGACUGUCUCUCCAGAGUGGUGCAUGCUCUAGUUAUCUCUCGCUUGGACUACUGCAAUGCGCUCUACGUGGGGCUACCUUUGAAGGUGACCCGGAAACUACAACUAAUCCAGAAUGCGGCAGCUAGACUGGUGACUGGGAGCGGCCGCCGAGAUCACAUAACACCGGUCCUAAAAGACCUACAUUGGCUCCCAGUACGUUUCCGAGCACAAUUCAAAGUGUUGGUGUUGACCUUUAAAGCCCUAAAUGGCCUCGGUCCGGUAUACCUGAAGGAGCGUCUCCACCCCCAUCGUUCUGCCCGUACACUGAGGUCCAGCUCCGAGGGCCUUCUGGCGGUUCCCUCAUUACGAGAAGCCAAGUUACAGGGAACCAGGCAGAGGGCCUUCUCGGUAGUGGCACCCACCCUGUGGAAUGCCCUCCCACUAGAGGUCAAAGAGAACAAUUACCAGACCUUUAGAAGGCAUCUCAAGGCAGCCCUGUUUAGGGAAGCUUUUAAUGUUUGAUGGAUUUCUGUAUUUUAGAAUUUCUGUUUUUUUGGAAGCCGCCCAGAGUGGCUGGGGGAACCCGGCCAGAUGGGCGGGGUAUAAAUAAUAAAUUAUUAUUAUUAUUAUUAUUAUUAUUAUUAUUAUUAUUAUUAUUAUUGGAUCUGCUCCUGUAAUCCUUAUAUUAAAAAAGUUUUUGUUUAGAGGGCAUGCUUGUAAAGAGUGAAAAUAUUUUCAGUAUAUCUAGGGAAGAAGAAUUAUAUUUGAGUUCAGACAUACAAUCCUUAUGGAGUCAGAGCAAUAGUCUAGUCCAGGGGUAGUCAACCUUUUAUAUCUACCGCCCACUAAUGCACCUUUCUUGAUGGUAAAAUUUCCUUACUGCCCACCAGUGCUCGAUGUAAGGCGGAUUCAGCUUGUGCUGUAGAACCCCCUACUGCCCACCUAGAAUCCUGAAACGCCCACUAGUGGGCAGUAGGGACCAGGUUGACAACCCCUGGUCUAGUCCAAUAUUUUGUUACAAACUUAUCAUGAAAAAGUCGCUGAUCGAUUUUUGCAGGCUCCUAUGAACAUAAUAAUAAUUGUAUCUAAAACAGUUCCUCCUGUGAACUGCCUUGAUAACCUGUGGUUAUUUGAACCAGAAUACAUUGCCAUAUAAAAUCAUUAAAUAGACAGACCUCUCUUUUUUCUACUCUGUGUGUGUGUGUGAUGGUGGGAAUUAAAAUUAACUUGCUUACAUUUCUAUCUUUAAAAACCAAAACAAAAAAACCUGGAUAUAAAGGAAAUAUAAAAACAUUAAAAUAAAUGCACCAAGUCCAAAAACUUUCUGUACUAACACGUAACUGGCUAAUGCUGGUCCAGCCCUUUGACACGUAAGGCAGUAUUCGAUGCACUUGUUCUGUAGGGGCAAGGAUUUACACUUGUGCAACAAAACUUCCUCUCCAUCUCAUCCUGUGCACAGCCUCCCUAAAUCUGCUCCAGAGGGUUGGGGAAAACCCCAGAGCAGAUUUAGUGGGAGGCGUGUAUGCAGGGAAGUUCUGUUUAACAAGCAUAAAUCCUUCCUGUAAUGGGGAUAUUUAGCACAGCUUUGAAUGCAACCCAUAAUACUUAUGUGUAAUUUAUGCUCAUGUGGCUGGCAUGUGCACCUAUUGAUAGGAUUAUAAUCUUAGUUAUUGUUUCUGAAGUUUGCUGUAGAUUUUUAUCGCUGUUAUUUAAUUGGUUUUGUUUUGUCCAGCACUUCCUUUAACUUGUAGUUAAAGUAGUAUUGGUAUGUAAGGAUAUAUAUGCAUGUAACAACUGUUUCCAUGUGAUUUGCACCUAACAGUACCAUAAACAGCUUGUGGGGUCCAAACACCAUCCUGUGCUCUGUCCAUCCCCAGUGGCAUGCUGCCUGUGGUUUAUUUUUUAAACAUAGAAGUACAUAUUUUUUUGAACUCCAUGCAGUCUGUUUUUCUUUUCUUAGUAGAAUACUGUAAUGUCCUGCACACGAGCUAUUGCCCUAACACUUCCCUCCCACUGUUGCAGUUUUUUUUUCUUUUGACUUUUUAAACUGGAUUGUUCAUAUCCCAUGCCCUCUUCCACCUUGACUAAUAUUCAUCACAUUUCUGUUUUUUCCCCUCUCCCUAACACUGAAAUGGCCCAAUAAGUAUUGGCAUCCUCCCUUUGGCCCCCUCUAUUUCAGCCUUGUAAAAUCUUAUCAUUUCUGCACAUUUAGUUUUUGCCUAGUCUCAGGAUUGCACUCAACACUAAAGAGUGAAUGAAGAACAAAAAGAAAGCAAAAGAAAUGUAAAAAGUGUUCUAACAAAUAGGUGCUGGUGCAGACCUGUCUUAAAUUAUUUGAAAUAUCGCCAUGCUAGAAUCAGCUGCUGUGCAUUGAAUAUCUAUGUAGUUUUCCACCUUGAGUUUUAACUUUUCUGUUGGUCUGUUUAAUCACUGUAGAAUAUUUUUCUUUUGACAGUCGGUACAUUAUAUAUGUAAUUGCUUUUUCUUGUUUUGUGUAGCCAAUCAAAAACCCCCCUUCAGGGAAAAAGUAUGUUAGAUGUCCAUGUAAUUGUCUGCUUAUCUGUAAGGAUACAUCACGGAGGAUAGGAUGUCCAAGACCCAACUGGUAAGGGCAAACCAAAUUAUAAUUUGCUUUUUCUCUUUGGUUUUCACACACACAAAAAUGGUCUGACUAGUGUGAUAUAAAUAGCAUAAACAAUAAAAAAGAAUACUGCCUCUGGCUAUUUCUCUGUUUAAUGUUUCACAUAAAUUUGUGGCUGCUAACCUCUGCAGAACUAAAUCAAUCUUUACCAAGGACAAAGAAGAAAAAUAACUUCUGCUUCUACUGUGCUACCCAUCAUGGGAAAGACAUAAAGAUGGGUGCCUCUUGCACGAGAUAAAAGGCAAAAAUAUCAUAUUUGAUAUUAGAAAUGGACCAAGUAAAGAAGUGGCUGCAAAGGAACCAUUGGGUGCAUUUAAAGCGCACACCCAAUGGUUUCUUAGCAGGUGGGGCUUGCAUUUGGCACAUUUUUAAAUUUUGUACCAAUUACAUGCCCCACUGGGAUUGGUCUCACUGAGGAAACUUAUGAAAUUAGGGGCUGCAAUUGGCACCAGUUGCACUGAUUGCCACUGGCUGCAGCUGCUGCUGGGAUUCACUGCACUCCAGAGUGCCUGGUCAGGAGCGCCCCCCCCCCCACCAAUCCCUGGCUGUCAGUGCUGAUCAGCUGAUUGGCCCUGACUGCUGCACCUGCUGAGAUUGCCGGCAGGGGUCUUUUUUGCAGACCAGCUUGGUACUUUCGUGGGAAACUGCUAGAUACACAGCUAUUACAGUAUUGUUACUGCCUAACAACUACAAAUAACCCAUCUUUUCUCCAAUAAACACUUCUUAUGUAUUGAACGUAGUCAGAUUGGUUCCAAGUGUUUAGUAUUGCAGUAAAACAAAAUGAAGAAGGGUAAGAAAGAGGAAGGUAGUUCAGUAUAUCCAGGAGAAACACAGUAAGUCAAUAUAUUAGUGCACACUGCUGUUUUAUGAAAUGCCUGAUCCUACAUUGUGUUGCUAUAGGAGCAGCAGAACGUAGGAUGUAUGCUAGGAGCACCAGUUCAGAACUGUGUAACACCUUACUCCGUACUUCCAGUACAGUAGUAGGAGUCUCUGUCGCUUCCUGCCUCAAGGACUGCACUAGUUAUUGAUGCUGCCGCAUUGGUGACAUUUGGGGAAACAGUGGGGCUCUGUACUGCCCCCAAGUACCCAUUUGCCUCUACAAAUAAUGCAUCCAAGCACUAGGGAAAGGGUUCAGCCAAGGAGUAGAAUGGUGGCUUAUCUGUGUAAUGGUACGGAGCUUAGAUAGUGCAUACAUUGCUGCUUUAGCUUUGUGGCCAUUCAAGUUACGAGGUGGUAGGGUUGCUUGAGAAAGACUAUGGCUUCAAGGCAAUGUAUUCAACUUAGAUAUCAGUGCCUAGUGAGCAAGGUGAUAUAUUUGAGGACUAAUGCAUAAAAGUAUGCAUUUCUACAACAAAGGUUUGCAUUGUAACCUUAUCAGUUUUGCCAUAUGUUUUGUAUCUUAAAAUGUUGCUUGGGGUUUGAUGCCAGAACAGGCCCAUUUUAGGCGGGCCGAAUCGGAACAAGCUUUCAUUGUUGAAGAUAUAUGGCUAGGGAAUACCCUUUUUCUGUGCUGUAUACAAUGACAUGAUGGGUUUACUUUUCUCCAUACAGUAGGCGAAUAAUUAAUCUUGGUCCAGUUAUGUUGAUUCCAGAGGAGCAGCCAGCACAGCCUGCAAUCCCUGUUCAGCCAGAAGGUACUAGAGUGGUGUGUGGGCACUGUGGAAAUACAUUCCUGGUAUGCUGGUCAUCGUUUGCCCAAAACAGCCUGGCACGCCUAAUUCUGCUCAUGGACUGAAGGUUGCCUAUCACUGGUUUAUUGUGAAUAAGCUGUAUGCUGCUCUAAAGUUCCUGUGGCACGCCUCUCUUGCUCCAGCUGCUAACACACCACAGACAAAACUAGUUAAGACUCUGGCUACCAUGUUGUCUGAGCCCAGAUUUGUGAAGCUGAAAGUUGGAAGAUUCAGGACAAACAGAAGGAGGUGCUUCUUAUACACUGCAUAUUUAAGCUAUGGCAUUUGCUCUUUCAAGGUGUAAGGAUGGCCAACAAUGUGAAAUGCUUUAAAUCGGGAUUAGACAAAUUCAUGGAGCAAAAGGCUAUUGUUGUAUACUACCUCCAGGAUCUGGGGAAGUGUGCUUCUGUAUACCAGUUGCCAGAAAUCAGAUGGUGAUAUUGCUGUUGCACUCUGGUAUAGCUUGUGUUCUUCCCACUGGUUGGCCACAGUGAGAACAGGAUGCUGGACUAAAUGGGCCUUUGGUAUGAUUCAGCAGAGUUCUUAUAUCGUUCUAUUAGUGCUAACAGCAGAUUCAGUAGGGGUUUUUUUUCAUUGGGACUGCAGUUUUGAGUGAAAAGGUCCUGAUCCAAGCCAGAGACCACAUGGUUUUUUAAAUAAACAUAUGAAUUGGAGGAUGAAAAACUGCUAAGGAGUACCAACAAUAUAAUCCUAGGGGGUGCAUGUGUCUAGUUUCGAAGGAAGAGUAAUAGCUGCAUUAGUGACAUGAAAGUGCUACUGCCAUUUAUAAACAGAGCGUAUAGUACGUCAGACAACCUAGUAAGCAGCAAGUCAUGGGAAAUCGUUUUGUAAGGAAAUCCCAAACCACAGAGUGUGGGGAUACUGCUUGCAAAAGGGCAUCCCAGUGACGGAAGGAAAUGAGGAAUAAAAACUAAGUGAAUCAUGAGAAGUAAAAUCUUGUGCUGUGAUUCCCAGUGACAUUUAACACGAAGCAAAAUAAACAGUUUUCAUACUGGCAUUUUUUCAACACUUCCUUUCUUAUUUAUUACAGUGGAUGGAACUGAGAUUCAACACUUUGGCAAAGUGCCCACAUUGUAAAAAAAUGUAAGUUUCAACAAGUGCUUCUACUAACGUUGUUAUUUUGGGAGAUAUAUGUAUUUGAAAUAUAAUCCCUCAGUCAUUGGACAAAACAUUUGUAAAUUCUGAUAAUGAAUGUCAACUCACCCUUCUCUUGUCAUUUCUAAUUUUCCUUAGUCAAAAACUAUUGAAAAUUAUUACUAAAUUGGAAAUGCUUGGAUAUAGAGAGAAACAGUUGCUGAAAGAAAUAUUAAUUUCCUAAUUAGCAUGAAAGCGAGUAAAUGAAGAGCAAAUAAGUUUUUGUUAUGAAAAAUAUGCAUGCUACUUUCUUUAAUGCAGCAAUUUAAUUAAACUAGAAACUAAUAAAAAGCAAUUUAUUACCUGUUUUGAUUAUUGUUAUGAUGGUCAUUUUGAUAAUGCUUACAGAUUAACCUGAUAGAAGUUCUUACUGGAACACUUCUUGACGAUGAACAAAAAACAAAACAAAACAGUAUCAGUAAGAGAACAGCCUUCCUGGAACAGUAGCAAUGACAUCUAAUAGUGCUACUAAAAUGAGUUUGCACUGUAUCAUUCUUGCAAUUGAAAAGCUCUGAAAUAAAUUUUGCUUAAUUUCAUGAUGCUACAGAGACUGAAUGGUUGUGUGCACAUUUUAAAAUGAAGCUAUAUUACAACUUUCCAGCUGUAAUUCAGAACAGGAAUUGCAUCCAGAUUCCUAUGCUACUUUAGUGACGUGGUACGCUUGUGGUGGUGUGGAAUCUCUUGCCAUACGGACAGAAGAGUGGUGAAACACAGGGUAGGGAAGUAGUGGCCAGACAGCAUCUGUGAGCCCAGUCCAGGUUGAAAGGGUACAUGGCUGAGCACGAGUGGGUGUGCGCACAAGGGUAAGAGAGAAGGGAAAGGAAGGGGGGAGCUGAUGGGGGUUUUGGAGUGAAGGGUGACAUGGAAUGAUGACAUGGGAAGAGGACUAAGGCACAGGAAAGACUUGGAAACUGCUUGGUUCAGGUAUACCUUGUGCGAGGUGAACACUACUUCCUUCCACAUUUUGAAGCCAUUUAAGUGAGGGAGGAACAAAAAAUGAGCAAGGAAAAUGAAGAGUAUCAAGAUAGUUCUUGAUAACUGGGCUUGCUGCAGAACUUUCUGUACUUGGUACAGAUACAUAAUUUUAACCAUGCUGGAGGUGCAAAAUAGUUCAAACAACAUGACAUGUAUAAACAGUUUUGUACAUGAUGAUAAGCUGUGUGCAGAAAACAAAAGUCACCUAUGAAGCUCAUCUAAAUAAUCUACAGAAUUUUUAAAUCACCUUAUUACAGUAGCUUUAUUUAUCUUAGUUAAGUAUGGACCAAUGGAAAGCCCCGGGCACCAAGGUACAAGCCUCAUUAAGUAGUACCCAGGGGACUUCAUCUUUUAGUUUGAAAACUUUGAAAUUACUUAUUGUAGUAAAUCUGCAUAAACCAGGCAAUUAAAAAGCAUUCCACCUGCAAUAAUUUUUAUUAAUUUUUCCAAAUAUCUUAAUAAUAUUAUUCUCCUUUAAAUCUAAAGUUAAUUUGGAUAAGAAAAAGCAUUCCAGCAACAUUAAAAAAUAAUAAUCAGUCACAUGCUAGGCUCAUGAGCCCUUUCUGUGCUUUUAGUGGAGUGUUCGAGCAUUUGAACAAUCACAUGACAGCUUACAGAUAUUUUUUUUUGUUAGCAAUGUUGUUGCUGCUUUGAUUGGGACAUCUGUAGCCUUCCUUGCUCCAGAAUGUGGUGUAACUUUGAAAUCCAGAUUGAGAAUAGACUCUAACAAGUUUAAACUCAUGACUUCCAUCAGGGGAGAUGUAGAAAGUAUACCCUUUAAUGAAUCCUUUAUAAAGUCAGAACUGUUUGUUUUGUUUUUUAAUUUUCGCUGCGGUAUACUGUUUGUUUGCAGUUCUUCUGUUGGAUGUGCACUUCCACGAAGACGGUGUUGUGCAUAUAUUACAAUUGGAAUGAUAUUUAUCUUCAUUGGAGUUGGAUUAACUGUGAGUUAAAACCUAUUUAUCUACUUGCACUUUUUGGCGUGCUUUCGAACUGCUAGGUUGGCAGGAGAAUCUAAAUUAAAUCAUUAAUGGUAUCCUGCAGUUGAACAGAGCUAGUGGCAUUGUUGUAGUGGUGCAAAAAAUUGGGACUCUUUGCUAAUGCGUCCUAAAGGAAUUCAUAAGCUAGUGUGUACCAAAACGUAUUUUUAAAGCCUCAUUCUUAAAUUUCAAAUUAUCAUGCAUGGCAUCAUAAUGCUGCAAGAUAAUCUCAGAAUGAAAAUGGAAAAUUUUAAUUUUUCUGUCAUUGGGAAAGGCCCCUACUGUGGCCAAACUACACACUGCAACAGCUGACCGAUGUUUUCUCCCAGUGGUAUUCCCCAGUCAAAUUUAAAUUGGACCCAGUGUGGUGAUUUAAAGCAGGGAUGGGUAGCUUUGCUGCAUGUCAGCUGGGCAGCUCAACAAAGCCCGCUGCCCCUGCAUGUCAGUUCUGCAGAUUGAGGUACUCACCCCGAUUUAAAGUGUCAAAGGGUACCAUAUUGAAGCACAGUUGGGGAAAAGGUAGCAGGGGCAAGGAUUUUGUCUUGUACAUUCCACACACAGCUCAAGGAACAUGUGGUGAUGGUGGAUCUAUGCUCAAAUACCUGGCUUGCCAGGAGGGAGAUAUUGAAUAGCUUUCAACAUAGUCAUUGGAGAUUUUAAGUAACCUUUCUUUUGCUUAGAUAACUUCUGCUGUGAUUUGUACACACAGAUGCUCAUGCCCUUGGUGAUGUCAGUCUAAACAAAGAAAGUGCAGCCAGUGUGUCUUGAAUGCAGAAAAAAUGUGGUUCCUGGCUUCCUUAAAUUCUAUUCUGAUCACGAAAAGGAUCAAUAGCUAUAGAGUUACAGUUAUGUCCAUUUUCAUCUAUUUGUGCCUUGCUGCAUGAAUUCUCCCAUGAUACUUGGAACUGUAGUAGGACCUUGCUGCACUGAUGUAGGCUACAGUUUUAUACACACUUAACUUAGGAGCAUGUCCGUCUGAACUUAGAAAACAAGCAUAUGCAAGAUUGGACUGCAGAUGUGCAUGGAAGUACUUCAUUACUCCUGGGAAGCUGUGACCUAACUGUGAAAGGGCAACGUCCCCCAAAAGAUUUUAUGGUAACUUUAUAGUGCACUGUUCCCAAAUGAACAAAGUUACAUAAGAAAAUAUAUAUUGACCCAAGAGGCGAUUCCCCACAUGGUCUAUCUAUGCAUGAAAAUACAGUCCCUCGGCCUGAAGUGAAAUGAUUGCCACAUCCCAUAGUUGCCUUUGACUGGACUCAACCGUCCAGGGGUCCUUUACCUUUUACCUAUAUACAGUAUCUUAUGAAUGGAAUUUAACCCAUUGAAGACAGCAGCAGGAGGGGGUAAUUGCUAUAUUGGAAAGCUCUGUUAAAGGCAAGGCUUUGAGGCAAGAACUCUAGCAGGAAUCACAAAGUUCCUCAAAAAUGGGAGCUGGAAUAUUAGAUUCACCCCCUCAACCAAAGUUUUUCUUUAAGAAGAGCAAGUAUAAUCCAAGACAAUAAAUGUAAGUUGUAAAAUAUAGCUUUAAAAUGGUAACUUUUUAAUGUCCAAUUUAAUAUUUUAUUUCACAAUUAAAAUACAAAAUUUGUAGUGAUCAGGGUUGUAUUUAUUGUUACACUAAAUAUGAUGGCAAGUACGCCUCCAGCAAACUUGUAGAAUUGUUUAUGGUGUAAUUAUUAUGAACAUCUCAGUAAGUCUGACCAAUCCUAUACCCUAUACUUCCAUUGUUUAGAAUGUAAUCGGUGUUCUGUGUCUGUUGGAAAACAGCAUGUUCUUUUGGAUAAAAACUACAUUAAAAAAUUCCUGGUAACUUUCCGAGUAUGAAAUGCAAAAUAACUUCUCUCUAUGGCAAUAGAUUUCUGAUGUGCUAAUAGGAAAAGGCUAUCUAUGUCCCAAAUAAGUUAACGCAGAGCAGAUUGGAAUUGCUUCAGAAACCUAUAAGGUUGUGUUAUUUUUUCCCCUUUAAGUAUUAAUUUUAUACAAAUUGUUAAUGCUUCACCUUAAAGAUUUAAAUGAUACUUAUUAAUUGUUCUUUUUAUUUUUAACAGGUUGGUACGCAAGAUUUUGCCAGAAACUUUCAUGCCACUUAUGUUUCUUGGGCUAUUGCUUACCUCUUAGGUUUGGUCUGCCUAAUUCGAGCCUGCUACUGGGGAGCCAUAAAA
Molecule: non-coding RNA, 11616 nt
Organism: Zootoca vivipara (common lizard)
Lineage: Eukaryota; Metazoa; Chordata; Lepidosauria; Squamata; Lacertidae
Source: RefSeq, a predicted model, not a curated record